RNAcentral lists this ribosomal RNA (441 nucleotides) under uncultured bacterium. Its description in RNAcentral is "partial 16S ribosomal RNA". It matches the Rfam family "Bacterial small subunit ribosomal RNA", at positions 338 to 795 of the family's 1533-position model. The record is from RNAcentral.
CCUACGGGAGGCAGCAGUGGGGAAUAUUGCACAAUGGGGGAAACCCUGAUGCAGCGACGCCGCGUGAGUGAAGAAGUAUUUCGGUAUGUAAAGCUCUAUCAGCAGGAACGAGACAAGACGGUACCUGACUAAGAAGCCCCGGCUAACUACGUGCCAGCAGCCGCGGUAAUACGUAGGGGGCAAGCGUUAUCCGGAAUCACUGGGUGUAAAGGGAGCGUAGACGGUUGUGCAAGCCUGAAGUGAAAGGGGGGGGCCCAACCCCUGGACUGCUUUGGAAACUGUACGGCUGGAGUGCAGGAGAGGUAAGUGGAAUUCGUGGUGUAGCGGUGAAAUGCGUAGAUAUUAGGAGGAACACCGGUGGCGAAGGCGACUUACUGGACUGUAACUGACGUUGAGGCUCGAAAGCGUGGGGAGCAAACAGGAUUAGAUACCCUAGUAGUC